GCUGUUCCGUCCUCUCUUUACUGCAUGCUCAACACGAGCUGGACCGGGGUUCUGAACGGGACGCACCUCUACGACUUUGAUUGUCCGGCAAAGGAGCUCGGGAAGAUGCCGAUGUUCCCUGCACAGUGUCCCUCCAACCAUUCCUGGUUUACUGCAAGGGAGGAAGGAGAAGAAACAGAGUGAAUAAUCCUCUCAGGCCAGAGAACCAGCUGCCCAGUUCCUGCUGCAGGAACUGAAACACUGAUGGGUCACACCAUCGAUUCUCCAUCGACAGACCGUGACAUCUUUCGCGCUCUUCCCCAGCGUCACGCUAGACUGGGAGAGUUAUUCAAAACGUUUGUCAUAAAGAGUAGAAAAGAAGCAAACAUUGUUGCUUGACAUCCUUCUCUGGAAGUCUCAGGUAAGGGGAGGCUUUCCUUUCUUUAUUGUUUAGUAUAACUUUUUAUUUAUUUUUAUUUUGUUAAAGCAUAUAAUUUUGUGUGAGUCACAUUGUGGGUGACAGUUUGGCCUUGUGUGGAUCUGAUCCGUCGUUUCUGUGCCAUGCGCAUCGCGUUUAUGUGGCAUAUCAGUGUGGGCUAGGUUUGUGCGUUUAUGGGUGUUGGGGAUGUGGAUGUGUUCCUGUGGAUCAGGUGCAAUGACGGUUUUGUCCGAACCAUCUGAUAAUAUCCUGCAGGUGCCCUUGGAUGUAAACGCACACGCCACACAUAAUUCUUUCUUCUCAUAUAAAUCAUUCUCACCGGUGGUUCACCUCUGAAAGGUUAUAUCAGAGAUGCAAGAACAGAGCUAACGUGCUGGUUUUUAAUCUUGACUGCCGCCUUGAUGAAUAAUUUCUGCAAAAAAACAUAUGUCCUGAUGUAAAUAUCCAUACAGGUCAGCUUGUGCCCAGUUUAAGUGAAAGGAGGCGCGCGUGAUCUGUGCUAAGGUAAACUUCAGGCAUGUAAGCAGCGACAGCGCGAGGCAACCCACAGAGAUGCCAGUGAUGUGAUUGAUCCACGCUUCCGGUUUUGUGGCCUGUUAAAUGCAUCAACUAUAAACCAAUCUAUUUGAAUACUUCACUCAGUGCAACAAGACUUCCUG
Molecule: long non-coding RNA, 1077 nt
Organism: Poecilia latipinna (sailfin molly)
Lineage: Eukaryota; Metazoa; Chordata; Actinopteri; Cyprinodontiformes; Poeciliidae
Exons: 4
Source: RefSeq, a predicted model, not a curated record